AAGUCGUAACAAGGUUUCCGUAGGUGAACCUGCGGAAAGAUCAUUAACACGUAUCCAAACGUUAAAACCCCACCCCCGUGAACCUUCUUGUAACCCGCGUAGUUCGCAAUCUCUGAUAAAUCAUAGCCCGGAAAGUUGUAGUGAUUCAGAGACCUCUGGCUACGUGCGAACAUUGGAACAGUUACAAUCGAGCGUUAGUUCUAUAGGCAAUGUUUCCCCAAGCAAUCAGUGUCGGAAAGUGUCAUUGAUUGUGCAAGGAUAGCGCUUCUACGAUUCCUGUAGACCGUACACUCGAAUAACCCCACAGUUUAAUGUGAAAGCUCAAUGUAAUACAUUGGGUAAAAAAACCGAACAUCUGUGAACAAUGGAUAUCUUGGUUCUC
RNAcentral lists this unclassified non-coding RNA (382 nucleotides) under fungal sp. RNAcentral's name for it is "partial internal transcribed spacer region". The stretch from base 1 to 46 matches the Rfam family "Eukaryotic small subunit ribosomal RNA", at positions 1786 to 1831 of the family's 1831-position model. The record is from RNAcentral. Lineage: Eukaryota; Fungi.